AUGCAAGUCGAGCGGACCGAACGGAAGCUUGCUUCUGUUCGGUUAGCGGCGGACGGGUGAGUAACACGUGGGUAACCUGCCCGUAAGACCGGGAUAACUCCGGGAAACCGGGGCUAAUACCGGAUAACACCGAAGACCGCAUGGUCUUCGGUUGAAAGGUGGCUUUUGCUACCACUUACGGAUGGGCCCGCGGCGCAUUAGCUAGUUGGUGAGGUAACGGCUCACCAAGGCGACGAUGCGUAGCCGGCCUGAGAGGGUGACCGGCCACACUGGGACUGAGACACGGCCCAGACUCC
This 296-nucleotide ribosomal RNA is filed under the name unidentified marine bacterioplankton. RNAcentral describes it as "partial 16S ribosomal RNA". It matches the Rfam family "Bacterial small subunit ribosomal RNA", at positions 55 to 339 of the family's 1533-position model. RNAcentral also lists the same sequence under 1 other name. The record is from RNAcentral.